Molecule: ribosomal RNA, 532 nt
Filed under: uncultured bacterium
Lineage: Bacteria
Description: partial 16S ribosomal RNA
Rfam family: Bacterial small subunit ribosomal RNA
Source: RNAcentral
UGGGGAAUAUUGCACAAUGGGCGAAAGCCUGAUGCAGCAACGCCGCGUGAGUGAUGAAGGCCUUCGGGUUGUAAAGCUCUGUCUUUUGGGACGAUAAUGACGGUACCAAAGGAGGAAGCCACGGCUAACUACGUGCCAGCAGCCGCGGUAAUACGUAGGUGGCAAGCGUUGUCCGGAUUUACUGGGCGUAAAGGAUGCGUAGGCGGAUUUUUAAGUGAGAUGUGAAAACCCUAAGCUUAACUUGGGGACUGCAUUUCAUACUGGAAAUCUAGAGUGCGGGAGAGGAGAAUGGAAUUCCUAGUGUAGCGGUGAAAUGCGUAGAGAUUAGGAAGAACACCAGUGGCGAAGGCGAUUCUCUGGACCGUAACUGACGCUGAGGCAUGAAAAGCGUGGGUAGCAAACAGGAUUAGAUACCCUGGUAGUCCACGCCGUAAACGAUGAGUACUAGGUGUAGGAGGUAUCGACCCCUUCUGUGCCGCAGUUAACACAAUAAGUACUCCGCCUGGGAAGUACGAUCGCAAGAUUAAAACUC